AUCCGGAGGGUGCAAGCGUUAAUCGGAAUUACUGGGCGUAAAGCGCGCGUAGGCGGUUUGUUAAGCGAGAUGUGAAAGCCCUGGGCUCAACCUGGGAACUGCAUUUCGAACUGGCAGGCUAGAGUACAAGAGAGGGUGGUAGAAUUUCCUGUGUAGCGGUGAAAUGCGUAGAUAUAGGAAGGAAUACCAGUGGCGAAGGCGGCCACCUGGCUUGAUACUGACGCUGAGGUGCGAAAGCGUGGGGAGCGAACAGGAUUAGAAACCCGAGUAGUCC
Molecule: ribosomal RNA, 274 nt
Filed under: uncultured bacterium
Lineage: Bacteria
Description: partial 16S ribosomal RNA
Rfam family: Bacterial small subunit ribosomal RNA
Source: RNAcentral